CCUACGGGAGGCAGCAGUGAGGAAUAUUGGUCAAUGGACGAGAGUCUGAACCAGCCAAGUAGCGUGAAGGAUGACUGCCCUAUGGGUUGUAAACUUCUUUUAUAUGGGAAUAAAAUGUUCCACGUGUGGGAUUUUGUAUGUACCAUAUGAAUAAGGAUCGGCUAACUCCGUGCCAGCAGCCGCGGUAAUACGGAGGAUCCGAGCGUUAUCCGGAUUUAUUGGGUUUAGAGGGAGCGUAGGUGGAUUGUUAAGUCAGUUGUGAAAGUUUGCGGCUCAACCGUAAAAUUGCAGUUGAAACUGGCAGUCUUGAGUACAGUAGAGGUGGGCGGAAUGCGUGGUGUAGCGGUGAAAUGCUUAGAUAUCACGAAGAACUCCGAUUGCGAAGGCAGUUCACUGGACUGCAACUGACACUGAGGCUCGAAAGUGUGGGUAUCAAACAGGAUUAGAUACCCGAGUAGUC
This 460-nucleotide ribosomal RNA is filed under the name uncultured bacterium. RNAcentral describes it as "partial 16S ribosomal RNA". It matches the Rfam family "Bacterial small subunit ribosomal RNA", at positions 338 to 795 of the family's 1533-position model. The record is from RNAcentral.